AGGAGAUGUUUUCAUGUGGGGGGAAGGGACUGGUGAUGGUGUCCUGGGUGGUGGACCUCAUAGGAUUGACAGUUGUAAUGGUGUCAAAGUAGAUUCGUUGUUGCCCAAAGCUUUAGAGUCUGCAGUUGUACUAGAUGUCCAAAAUUUAGCUUGCAGUGGAAAACACGCAGCACUAGUAACAAAGCAGGGUGAGAUGUUCUCUUGGGGUGAGGAAUCAGGAGGCAGGCUUGGGCA
Molecule: unclassified non-coding RNA, 234 nt
Filed under: Hevea brasiliensis (rubber tree)
Lineage: Eukaryota; Viridiplantae; Streptophyta; Magnoliopsida; Malpighiales; Euphorbiaceae
Source: RNAcentral